Molecule: unclassified non-coding RNA, 228 nt
Filed under: Hevea brasiliensis (rubber tree)
Lineage: Eukaryota; Viridiplantae; Streptophyta; Magnoliopsida; Malpighiales; Euphorbiaceae
Source: RNAcentral
GCAGCAAGCAAGUUCAGAAAACAAAAAAUGCAUGAAGUCUUCCUAUUCAACCAUAACUACCAAAGAUCUGAACCUAGACUAGCAAUAAAUAAGCACCAUCUGGCAAAAGUGGUUUUUUUACCCCUCCAUCCAUCAACCAACUAAUUCAUAACUGAACAGGAAAAUAAAAUCCUCUAGUCAAGGAAAAAUAGAUCAGAGGCUUCUUACCUUGCCAGAUCUCUGAUCAGG